AUGAUCAGUGUUGUCUACCCUGAACAAGCCCGAUUCCAUCUGAUCUUGGAAGCUAAGCAGGGUUGAGCCUGGUUAGUACUUGGAUGGGAGGCCACCUAGGAAGGCCAGGUGCUGUAGGUG
This 120-nucleotide ribosomal RNA is filed under the name Pteropus alecto (black flying fox). Lineage: Eukaryota; Metazoa; Chordata; Mammalia; Chiroptera; Pteropodidae. The record is from RNAcentral.